This is a long non-coding RNA of Manacus vitellinus (golden-collared manakin), 818 nucleotides long. RefSeq lists it as uncharacterized. Lineage: Eukaryota; Metazoa; Chordata; Aves; Passeriformes; Pipridae. The transcript is spliced from 3 exons. The record is from RefSeq and is a predicted model, not a curated record.
UCCUUCUGACCUGCGCGUUUUCCUGUGACUCUCCGGGAGCCUCCGCUGCUUGGGACCGGAGCGGUGCUGCGGUUGGUGUGAUCGCAAUGGUUUGUCUACUUAAAGGUGCAGGGAGGAACCAUCAAGAAAAUGACCUCAUCAGCUUCAAAACUGUUACCUUGAACACUUAAUAACCUUAAUGCAGUGAAGAUUGCACAGUCCACAGACAGAGCAACUCCACCAAUUUCAAGUGAAAGAAGGUGCCUUCCUUGGAUCUGCUCAGGCAUCACUUCUUUAUGACUUCGAUGACUAAAAGUUAGGUCCUGGUGAUUGUAAACUGUACCCAGGGUACUGGCCCAGAAGGCACAGUGACUCAGAGGCAUGUGACGCAGAGUGCCUCCCCCUCUUCCUCCUGGCCAUGGGCAUGCAGGUACACACUGCUGGCCUAAUGCAUCCUUCAGUUACUACAUGUUCUUGCAGCUAUUUCACACAGCCUUGCUCUGAAUGGUAAGUAGCAGGAGCGGGACCAUAUCUUCACCUUGUUCAUGCCUCUGCCUGCUCCCACUUAGUGGGCUCCAAGUACCAUUUCUCUGUGGUUAGAUCACUGGUCCAGCAGGUCCUGUGUGUAGGUGACUGCUCACUUAGUGAGCAUUUAAUCUUUUGUUUUGAGGUUUGCUGGUGCUUCUAGCCAACAUCUGGCUAUGGUGUGCCAAAUAAAACCCACAUCAGUGUUUCAUGUGAAUCCAUUGCAAGUACAAUUUAUGUCCUUCAGCAAUGUGAUUUACCUCUACCUUUUUGUUGUGUGGGUGGCUUCUUUGUUAAUGUAACCUGUGUGGCAA